CCUACGGGGUGCAGCAGUGGGGAAUUUUGGACAAUGGGCGCAAGCCUGAUCCAGCUAUUCCGCGUGUGGGAAGACGGCCUUCGGGUUGUAAACCACUUUUGUAGAGAACGAAAAGUCUGUUGAUAAUACCGAUAGAUGAUGACGGUACUCUAAGAAUAAGCACCGGCUAACUACGUGCCAGCAGCCGCGGUAAUACGUAGGGUGCGAGCGUUAAUCGGAAUUACUGGGCGUAAAGGGUGUGCAGGCGGUUUUGCAAGAUGGAUGUGAAAGCCCCGGGCUUAACCUGGGAAAGCCAUACAUGACUGCAAGACUAGAGUGCGUCAGAGGGGGGUGGAAUUCCAAGUGUAGCAGUGAAAUGCGUAGAUAUUUGGAAGAACACCGAUGGCGAAGGCAGCCCCCUGGGACGCAACUGACGCUCAUACACGAAAGCGUGGGGAGCAAACAGGAUUAGAUACCCCGGUAGUC
RNAcentral lists this ribosomal RNA (465 nucleotides) under uncultured bacterium. RNAcentral's name for it is "partial 16S ribosomal RNA". It matches the Rfam family "Bacterial small subunit ribosomal RNA", at positions 338 to 795 of the family's 1533-position model. The record is from RNAcentral.